Molecule: signal recognition particle RNA, 85 nt
Filed under: Aquificota bacterium
Lineage: Bacteria; Pseudomonadati; Aquificota
Description: Aquificae bacterium (hydrothermal vent metagenome) signal recognition particle sRNA small type
Rfam family: Bacterial small signal recognition particle RNA
About the family: The signal recognition particle (SRP) is a universally conserved ribonucleoprotein involved in the co-translational targeting of proteins to membranes. Archaeal SRP consists of a 7S RNA and homologues of the eukaryotic SRP19 and SRP54 proteins. In most bacteria, the SRP consists of a 4.5S RNA and the Ffh protein (a homologue of the eukaryotic SRP54 protein).
Source: RNAcentral
AUCGCCCCGCGGGGGGCUAGGGUGAACCCCCCCAGGCCCGAAAGGGAGCAAGGGUAAGCCCGAUGCCCCCGCGCGGGGUUUUAAA